RNAcentral lists this transfer RNA (85 nucleotides) under Felis catus (domestic cat). It matches the Rfam family "tRNA". Rfam says of the family: Transfer RNA (tRNA) molecules are approximately 80 nucleotides in length. Their secondary structure includes four short double-helical elements and three loops (D, anti-codon, and T loops). RNAcentral also lists the same sequence under 1 other name. Lineage: Eukaryota; Metazoa; Chordata; Mammalia; Carnivora; Felidae. The record is from Rfam by way of RNAcentral.
GCCUGGGUGGCUCAGUCGGUUGAGCAUCUGACUUCAGCUCAGGUCACGAUCUCGCGGUCCGUGAGUUCGAGCCCCGCAUCGGGCU